This 497-nucleotide ribosomal RNA is filed under the name uncultured bacterium. RNAcentral's name for it is "partial 16S ribosomal RNA". It matches the Rfam family "Bacterial small subunit ribosomal RNA", at positions 28 to 507 of the family's 1533-position model. The record is from RNAcentral.
GAUGAACGCUGGCGGCGUGCCUAAUACAUGCAAGUCGAGCGAACGGACGAGAAGCUUGCUUUUCUGAUGUUAGCGGCGGACGGGUGAGUAACACGUGGAUAACCUACCUAUAAGACUGGGAUAACUUCGGGAAACCGGAGCUAAUACCGGAUAAUAUUUUGAACCGCAUGGUUCAAAAGUGAAAGACGGUCUUGCUGUUACUUAUAGAUGGAUCCGCGCUGCAUUAGCUAGUUGGUAAGGUAACGGCUUACCAAGGCAACGAUGCAUAGCCGACCUGAGAGGGUGAUCGGCCACACUGGAACUGAGACACGGUCCAGACUCCUACGGGAGGCAGCAGUAGGGAAUCUUCCACAAUGGGCGAAAGCCUGACGGAGCAACGCCGCGUGAGUGAUGAAGGUCUUCGGAUCGUAAAACUCUGUUAUUAGGGAAGAACAUAUGUGUAAGUAACUGUGCACAUCUUGACGGUACCUAAUCAGAAAGCCACGGCUAACUACGUG